This 471-nucleotide ribosomal RNA is filed under the name uncultured Bacillus sp. RNAcentral describes it as "bacterial SSU rRNA". It matches the Rfam family "Bacterial small subunit ribosomal RNA", at positions 910 to 1382 of the family's 1533-position model. Lineage: Bacteria; Bacillati; Bacillota; Bacilli; Caryophanales; Bacillaceae. The record is from RNAcentral.
UUGACGGGGCCCGCACAAGCAGUGGAGUAUGUGGUUUAAUUCGAAGCAACGCGAAGAACCUUUACCAGGGCUUGACAUCCCUUGAAACAGCUAGAGAUAGCUGUGUCCUUCGGGACAAGGAGACAGGUGGUGCAUGGUUGUCGUCAGCUCGUGUCGUGAGAUGUUGGGUUAAGUCCCGCAACGAGCGCAACCCCUGUGGUUAGUUGCCAGCAAGUAGCGUUGGGCACUCUAGCCAGACUGCCGGUGAUAAAUCGGAGGAAGGUGGGGACGACGUCAAAUCAUCAUGCCCUUUAUGUUCUGGGCUACACACGUGCUACAAUGGCCGGUACAGACGGACGCAAAGCCGCGAGGUGGAGCAAAUCCUAAAAAGCCGGUCUCAGUUCGGAUUGCAGGCUGCAAUUCGCCUGCAUGAAGUCGGAAUCGCUAGUAAUCGCAGGUCAGCAUACUGCGGUGAAUACGUUCCCGGGCCUU